GCCUGGGUGGCUCAGUUGGUUGAGCGUCCGGCUUCAGCUCAGGUCAUGAUCUCACAGUUUGUGGGUUCAAGCCCCGCAUUGGGCU
This is a non-coding RNA of Felis catus (domestic cat), 85 nucleotides long. NCBI's taxonomy places the organism in Eukaryota, Metazoa, Chordata, Mammalia, Carnivora, Felidae. The record is from Rfam.